Molecule: ribosomal RNA, 779 nt
Filed under: uncultured bacterium
Lineage: Bacteria
Description: bacterial SSU rRNA
Rfam family: Bacterial small subunit ribosomal RNA
Source: RNAcentral
AGAGUUUGAUCAUGGCUCAGGACGAACGCUGGCGGCGUGCUUAACACAUGCAAGUCGAACGAGAUCCAUUCAGUAGCAAUACUGAUGAAGAUCUAGUGGCGAACGGGUGCGUAACACGUGAGGAACUUGUCCCGGUCUCUGGGAUAACAGUUGGAAACGACUGCUAAUACCGGAUGACGUCGGAACUUCGCAUGGAGUACUGACGAAAGGGUUACUGGAUCGGGAGAGCCUCGCGGCCUAUCAGCUUGUUGGUGGGGUAACGGCCUACCAAGGCAUCGACGGGUAGCUGGUCUGAGAGGAUGAUCAGCCACACUGGGACUGAGACACGGCCCAGACUCCUACGGGAGGCAGCAGUGGGGAAUCUUGCACAAUGGGCGAAAGCCUGAUGCAGCAACGCCGCGUGCGGGAAGAAGGCCCUCGGGUUGUAAACCGCUUUCAGAAGGAACGAAACUGACGGUACUUUCAGAAGAAGGUGCGGCCAACUACGUGCCAGCAGCCGCGGUGACACGUAGGCACCAAGCGUUGUCCGGAUUUAUUGGGCGUAAAGAGCUCGUAGGCGGUUCAGUAAGUCGGGUGUGAAAACUUUGGGCUUAACCCAAAGCGUGCAUCCGAUACUGCUGUGACUUGAGUUCGGUAGGGGAGUGGGGAAUUCCUAGUGUAGCGGUGAAAUGCGCAGAUAUUAGGAGGAACACCGGUGGCGAAGGCGCCACUCUGGGCCGAAACUGACGCUGAGGAGCGAAAGCAUGGGUAGCAAACAGGAUUAGAUACCCCAGUAGUCC